AACAUCCUGCUUGAAUGGUGGGCCUCAGAACUGUGCAUAGUAUUCGAGCAGCAGUCACACUAGUGCCAAAUACAAAGUGUAUUUCACACAGAAGUUCCACAUCUCGAAAGAAGUUAUGGCAAGUUAAUCAUGCAAAUUGGGCUGAGUCAACCCGAUGAACACUUACAGGUUUAAAGAACAAGGAUACUGGAGGUGACCUUUGCUGCAGCUCGCCAAUAAGGGCACCUAACUCACAACCCUGAUACUGCUUCCCUCAGAUGUCAACAUUUUUUAAGAGCUGAAGUUCUGCCAGUCUUGCACUAUGGAGCUCGCAGAGAGGAGUGUGGAUUCUAUCUUAAAGGAUAUUUUCAGAAAAGCAGCACUGUAGUGCUUAUGACACAUCCCAGCCUUGGAGGAGAAGUCCCCUCUUCCCUACAGAGGAAGUACAGCACAGGCAGUAGCAGCAC
Gopherus flavomarginatus (Mexican gopher tortoise) is the source of this 446-nucleotide long non-coding RNA. RefSeq lists it as uncharacterized. The record is from RefSeq and is a predicted model, not a curated record. Lineage: Eukaryota; Metazoa; Chordata; Testudines; Testudinidae. The transcript has 3 exons.